UAAUCUUGGCCCACUGCAACCUCCACCUCCUGGAUUCAAGCGAUUCUCAUGCCUCAGCCUCCCAAGUAGCUGGAAUUACAGGCACGCGUCACCACGCCUGGCUGAUUUUUUUUUUGUAUUUUUAGUAGAGAUGGGGUUUCACCAUGUUGGCCAGGCUGGUCUUGAACUCCUGACCUGAAGUGAUCCACCCGCCUUGGCCUCCCAAAGUAUUGGGAUUACAUGUGUGAGCCACUGCGCCUGUCCCCUGUGACUUCUUCGGGUACAGUUCCCUCCUGUUUUACCUAUGUGGCAAAUGAGCCAGGAACGGUUCUCUGAUUGUUUUAUUAGGUUCAUUCAUCCAAUUAUUCAUUUGUUCAUUUACCAUGCAGUCAGAAUCUACAAUCUUUUAUUAUUUGAAAAAAAAAUACAAAACUAUAUUACCAUAAUUUUAUUUUAACUGUACAUAUCCAUUUUUAAAGGCUGGAAAGACCAUGUUAUUAAUGUAAUUUUUUUCUUUUUUUACCCCAAAUAUUCUACAAUUAGCAUGUGUGACUUUAGUAGUAAAAAAGAUAAGCUUGUGAAAUCUAUCAGCUCUCAGGCUAAGCAUUACACCAAGAGAAUCUUGCACGAUCCUUCAAUCAUAAGAAAUCACAUGUUAGUGCAGAAGGUCCAGCAUGAAAUCCUCUAAGUGGCCAAAUCUAGGAGUUCUUCUCUGGCUUGGUUGGCUAAAGCAGUGAUCUGUGUCACCCCCAGGGCCAUCACUGUGCAUGUCCCCAUGCCCUCAGCAGGAGUCGUGGACAUCCCCAUUGUGGAGAAGGAGGCGCAGGGCCAGCAGCAACACCACAAGGUGGGCGAGCAGCCUCCCUGAGGCAUGGGUUGCUGCUCUUCCUUGGGAAUCAUAUCUUGAUUUCUUUGGCUUCAGAUGACAUUGUCCCCGAGCUACCGCAUGGAUGAUGGGAAAAUGGUGAAAGUGCGGCGCAGCCGGAAUGCGCAAGUUGCUGUAACUCAGUACCAGGUGCUCAGCAGCACUCUCUCCUCCGCCCUCGUGGAGCUCCAGCCCAUCACUGGAAUAAAACAUCAGCUUCGAGUUCACUUGUCUUUUGGAUUGGAUUGUCCAAUCCUUGGUGAUCACAAGUACUCAGACUGGAAUAGGUUGGCCCCCCAGAAGCUGUCUGUGGGCACCCUGAAGAAGCUGGGGCUAGAACAGUCGAAGGCCCGCUACAUCCCCCUUCACCUGCACGCCCGGCAGCUGAUCCUGCCUGCCCUGGGGUCCGGGAAGGAGGAACUCAACUUGGUCUGCAAACUUCCUCGCUUCUUUGUGCAUUCCCUGCACCGCCUGCGUUUAGAGAUGCCAAAUGAGGAUCAAAAUGAGAACAAUGAAGCCAAGUGUCUGGGAGCACAGUGAAGACCCUGGGAGCACCCUGGCACCUGGGAGCACAGUGAAGACCCUGAGAGCACCCUGGCACCUGGGAGCGCAGGUUGGCCCCUGAACUGUUCUUUG
This 1480-nucleotide small RNA is filed under the name Pan troglodytes (chimpanzee). RNAcentral describes it as "retained intron". Lineage: Eukaryota; Metazoa; Chordata; Mammalia; Primates; Hominidae. The record is from RNAcentral.